RNAcentral lists this transfer RNA (68 nucleotides) under Pseudoalteromonas piscicida. Its description in RNAcentral is "tRNA-Pro". It matches the Rfam family "tRNA", at positions 10 to 71 of the family's 71-position model. From Rfam's summary of the family: Transfer RNA (tRNA) molecules are approximately 80 nucleotides in length. Their secondary structure includes four short double-helical elements and three loops (D, anti-codon, and T loops). The record is from RNAcentral. Lineage: Bacteria; Pseudomonadati; Pseudomonadota; Gammaproteobacteria; Alteromonadales; Pseudoalteromonadaceae.
GCGCAGCUUGGUAGCGCACUUGGUUUGGGUCCAAGGGGUCGCAGGUUCAAAUCCUGCAUCGCCGACCA